GGGAUACAGCAAGGGAAGGGGGACCUGGGUUCAGAGUGGCCCACAUGCACAUCCACCUUUGGGCACUUGGGCCCCCCGGCUAUGUGGCCUCUCUGAGCCUAAACAUCGCCACCUUUAAAGUGGGCUCACUGGCACCUACCGUGCAGGCUGCCAAGCCCAGGCCCUGACAAGGACUGCAGCCCCAGGCCAAGGUCGCCUUUACGGGGAACGAGGCCUCCAGAGCCUACGCCUGGCUGACCUUGGGCAACUUAACCUCUCUGAGCUUCAGUUUCUCAUUGACACAAUGGGGAAGAUGAAACAGUAUCCAUUUCAAACUGAGCUUGUGAGGAUUAAAAUGAGAUUGUGCCUGGAACGCGCUAGAAACAGCAUCUGACGCCAGAAAGUGGUCAACGACUGUUCCCCCUUCUACCGUUACUGUAAAUACUGGAGACCAGUCAGCCUCCCAUCUUGAUCCCGGAGAUGCCUCCCGACCGUCCCCCGUGACAUCGCCCUUUGGCCCGAGUCCAAGGGAGACCCACAUCCCAGCCAGAACCCUGACAAGGCACAGGCACCACCACACGGAAGGAAGGGCCGCAGCCCUGCUGCCCGCCCUCCCCACCCUCUCAGCGAAUCAGGAAGGGGCGCCCCAUUCUCAAGGGACUAUAUUGCCCCCAGACUGUAAUCAUAAGUACACAACUCUUCCCCGUGAAUGUGCCCUCCAGAGCCAGGCGGCACAUGACCGGCCCCACAAGAGGGACAGAGAGCCCUGCGGCCCAGACACCCGCGGGGUCUGCACCUUCCCCAGCAACCAUCGCUGCCUGUGCCCCCCACCCCUCCUCUGAGCUGUCUCACUGGCCAAUUCCCUGCAAUUCUAAUCCCUGAUAAUAAUUCUGUAUAUUGAACUUUCUCUCUUCAAAUCACCAUGUGACUUUUGUCUCUUGAUUGAGCCUUGACUAAUAAAGGCCGCCUUUUUUUUUUUUUUCUUUUGGCCGCACUGCUUGGCAUGCGGGAUCUCAGUUCCCCAUCCAGGGAUUGAACCUGUGCCUCCUGCAGUGGGAGCUCGGAUUCUUAACCACUGCACCACCAGGGAAUUCUCUAAAGGACGCCUGGUAGCCAUCAGCACAGAAAUAAAGUCGGAUGCCUCCAGCCUCACUCAGUGCACCUAAUUACAUUCCAGGAGAAUCAAAGUUAAAUUUGAUUCCAGGAGAAUCAAAAUUAAAUACAAACACGAGGGACUUCCCUGGUGGCGCAGUGGUUAAGAAUCUGCCUGCCUAUGCCGGGGACAUGGGUUCGAGCCCUGGUCCGGGAAGAUCCCACAUGCUGCGGAGCAACUAAACCUGUGAGCCACAACUACUGAGCCUGCGCUCUAGAACCCGCAAGCCACAACUACUGGGCCCGCGUGCCACAGCGACUGAGCCCACGCACCUAGAGCCGCAAAGAGAAGCCUGCGCACCAAGACGAAGAGCAGCCCCCGCUCACUGCAACUAGAGAAAGCCCGCGUGCAGCAAUGAAGACCCAACGCAGCCAAAAAUUAGGGGAAAAAAAAAAUACAAACACGAAACCUUGAGAACAUUAAGAAAGCGAGCAUGGAAAGAAACUUUUUUACAAGAAGGGAAAGCCUUUCUGGGCAUGACUAAAAACCCCUAAACUCCCAUAAAAGAUGAAUAAUUUCAUAGUAUAAAUGGCAAAACACAACAUAAACCAAAUCAAAAGACAGAAAGCUAGGAAAAACAUUUUCAACCCUUAUCCCAGGCUAACUUUCUUAAUAUAUCUCUAUAUAAAGAGCCCUUGCAAAUAAAUUUUUAAAAUACCAACAACCCAAUAGAAAAAGGACAUAAACACACCCAUCUGAGAAAAUAAAACUACAAAGGUUAUUAAACAUAUAAAAAGAUCUUUGACAUCAUACAUAGUAAGAGAAAUAUAAAUUACACCACCAUACCAUUUUUACCCUAAACUGGACCUGAAGAGAGUGUGUUUAAGAGGGAUGGUGGUGCUGGUGUGGCCCUCUGCUGGCGGGAAGAUGGACUGUCCCCUCAUGAGGGACCCUUGGCAAGAAUGGUCAAGAUGACCAAUGCUCAGCCUUAGCUGCAGGGCAUCUUCCUGCUGGCCCCUACCCAGGAGGGGAAAUGAGGAAACCGCAGGAGUUCCGGGCAUCCUGUUAGGGUAACGAGAUCCUGAGAACGACUGGACACCCACUGGUGUGGCCCAGCUGCACCCCCAAAAAGGGCACUGUCCAGUCACCAAGAGGGGGGCAGCUCUGCCCGAGAAGCAAAACAAACUUCAGGGUGCAGGAGAGGCAGGGUAGGGGAGUGGUCAGCUUGGACAGAAUGGCCCCAGGGAGGAGGGGGGCGGGUAGUCACCACUCAGUUCCUUGGCCUCAUCUGCAAAAUAGGAGGCUGAUCGCGCCCCCUUCUGGAGUCGGGGUGAUAACAGCACACGAAGAGUGUAUUCCUCAGAAGUGCUGGGUAAAGGCCAGCUUUCACUGAUCCUUGGUAGCAAAAAGCAAGGCUCAGAGAGGAGCUGUCAUUACCUUCAGAUGCUAUCAUGCAGGGUUU
This is a non-coding RNA of Kogia breviceps (pygmy sperm whale), 2534 nucleotides long. The record is from RefSeq and is a predicted model, not a curated record. Lineage: Eukaryota; Metazoa; Chordata; Mammalia; Artiodactyla; Physeteridae.